CAAGCGAUAGGUAAGGGCAUUUGGUGAAUGCCUUGGCAAUCAGAGGCGAAGAAGGACGUAAUACAUUGCGAAAAGCUCAGGGGAGUUAUGAAUAGGCAUUGAUCCUGAGAUAUCCGAAUGGGGAAACCCGGCCGUAAGGUCAUCAUUAUCUGAAAAGAUAGGGUAAUGAAGCGAACUGAGCGAACUGAAACAUCUAAGUAGCUCAAGGAAAGGAAAUCAACCGAGACUCCGAAAGUAGUGGCGAGCGAAAUCGGACCAGCCAAAAAAGACAUAGGGCGCAAGAAGAACAUUCUGGGAAGGAUGACCAAAGAAGGUGAUAGUCCUGUAUUUAUAAGCAAACUAUGUAAAAACGAGUAGGGCGGAGCACGAGAAAUUCUGUCUGAAGAUGGGUAGACCACUAUCCAAGGCUAAGUACUACUGAUUGACCGAUAGUGAACAAGUACCGUGAGGGAAAGGUGAAAAGCACCCCGAUAAGGGGAGUGAAAGAGAACCUGAAACCGGAUGCCUACAAGCAGUCGGAGGAACAUUAAGUUCUGACGGCGUACCUUUUGUAUAAUGGGUCAGCGACUUAAUUUAUGUAGCAAGCCUAAGCCGAUAGGUGUAAGCGAAGCGAAAGCGAGUGUUAAUAGCGCGAAAAGUUACAUGGAUUAGACCCGAAACCGAGUGAUCUAGCUAUGAGCAGGUUGAAGGUUGGGUAACACCAACUGGAGGACCGCACCCACGCCUGUUGAAAAAGUCGGGGAUGACUUGUAGCUAGGGGUGAAAGGCCAAUCAAACUCGGAAAUAGCUGGUUCUCCGCGAAAACUAUUUAGGUAGUGCGGCAAGCGAAUACCUUGAGGGGUAGAGCACUGGAAGAAUGAGGGGGGAGCGAUCCUUACUAAAUUUUACCAAACUCCGAAUACUCAAGAGUAAUACUUGCCAGACAGACAGUAGGUGCUAAGGUCUAUUGUCGAGAGGGAAAGAGCCCAGACCGUCAAUUAAGGUCCCUAAAUUAUGGCUAAGUGGUAAAGGAAGUGAAUUGUCCAAAACAGUCAGGAGGUUGGCUUAGAAGCAGCCAUCCUUUAAAGAAAGCGUAAUAGCUCACUGAUCUAAUUAAGACGAUUUGCGCCGAAGAUGUAACGGGGCUAAAGCCAUAUACCGAAAUUACGGGUUUGUACUAAGUACAAGCGGUAGCGGAGCGUUCUGUAAGCCUGCGAAGGUGUUCCGUAAGGAAUGCUGGAGGUAUCAGAAGUGAGAAUGCUGACAUGAGUAGCGAAAAGAAGUGUGAGAGACACUUCCGCUGAAAGUCCAAGGUUUCCUGCGUAAAGCUAAUCUGCGCAGGGUUAGUCGGCCCCUAAGGUGAGGCUGAGAAGCGUAGCUGAUGGGAAGCAGGUUAAUAUUCCUGCACCAGCUAGGAGGUGACGGAUUUCAAAGAUUGUAACUGAUUAUUGGAUUUCGGUUGCAGUUCAGAAGUUCCAGGAAAGAGCCCUAGCAUAGACCGUACCCCAAACCGACACAGGUGGACAGGUAGAGAAUACCAAAGCGCUUGAGAGAACUAUGUUGAAGGAACUAGGCAAAAUGCUUGUGUAACUUCGGGAUAAGCAAGCCCCAUUUUUAGGCAACUAAAGGUGGGGGGCACAUACUAGGGGGUAGCGACUGUUUACUAAAAACACAGGGCUCUGCUAAAUUGAAAGAUGAAGUAUAGGGUCUGACGCCUGCCCGGUGCUGGAAGGUUAAGGAGAGAUGUUCACGCAUUGAACUGAAGCCCCAGUAAACGGCGGCCGUAACUAUAACGGUCCUAAGGUAGCGAAAUUCCUUGUCGGGUAAGUUCCGACCUGCACGAAUGGCGUAACGACUUCCCCGCUGUCU
RNAcentral lists this ribosomal RNA (1848 nucleotides) under human gut metagenome. Its description in RNAcentral is "bacterial LSU rRNA". It matches the Rfam family "Bacterial large subunit ribosomal RNA", at positions 1 to 2021 of the family's 2925-position model. The record is from RNAcentral.